AAUGUUCCAUUCCUUGUUUUAGGCAACAAAAUUGACAUACCAUAUGCUGCCUCAGAAGACGAGUUGCGUUACCACCUUGGCUUGACCAACUUCACCACUGGCAAGGGUAAGGUGAACUUGGGAGACUCAAAUGUCCGUCCCUUGGAGGUAUUCAUGUGUAGCAUUGUUCGAAAAAUGGGCUAUGGAGAUGGUUUCAAGUGGCUUUC
Molecule: unclassified non-coding RNA, 206 nt
Filed under: Hevea brasiliensis (rubber tree)
Lineage: Eukaryota; Viridiplantae; Streptophyta; Magnoliopsida; Malpighiales; Euphorbiaceae
Source: RNAcentral